RNAcentral lists this ribosomal RNA (447 nucleotides) under uncultured bacterium. RNAcentral describes it as "partial 16S ribosomal RNA". It matches the Rfam family "Bacterial small subunit ribosomal RNA", at positions 29 to 523 of the family's 1533-position model. The record is from RNAcentral.
AACGAACGCUGGCGGCAGGCUUAACACAUGCAAGUCGAACGCCCCGCAAGGGGAGUGGCAGACGGGUGAGUAACGCGUGGGAAUCUACCCUGAACUGCGGGAUAGCUCCGGGAAACUGGAAUUAAUACCGCAUGUGCCCUGAGGGGCAAAGAUUUAUCGGUUCAGGAUGAGCCCGCGUCCGAUUAGCUAGUUGGUGGGGUAAAGGCCUACCAAGGCGACGAUCGGUAGCUGGUCUAAGAGGAUGAUCAGCCACAUUGGGACUGAGACACGGCCCAAACUCCUACGGGAGGCAGCAGUGGGGAAUAUUGGACAAUGGGCGCAAGCCUGAUCCAGCCAUGCCGCGUGAGUGAUGAAGGCCCUAGGGUUGUAAAGCUCUUUCACCGGGGACGAUAAUGACGGUACCCGGAGAAGAAGCCCCGGCUAACUUCGUGCCAGCCGCCGCCGUAA